UACGUAGGCAGCGAGCGUUGUUCGGAAUUACUGGGCGUAAAGGGUGCGUAGGCGGCCGUGUAAGUGUGGUGUGAAAUCUCCCGGCUUAACUGGGAGGGUGCGCUACAGACUGCAUGGCUAGAGUGUGGGAGAGGAAAGUGGAAUUCCUGGUGUAGCGGUGAAAUGCGUAGAUAUCAGGAGGAACACCGGUGGUGUAAACGGCUUUCUGGACCAUAACUGACGCUGAUGCACGAAAGCGUGGGUAGCAAACAGG
Molecule: ribosomal RNA, 253 nt
Filed under: uncultured bacterium
Lineage: Bacteria
Description: partial 16S ribosomal RNA
Rfam family: Bacterial small subunit ribosomal RNA
Source: RNAcentral